GCCCAGGUGGUGGAACUGGUAGACACGCUAUCUUGAGGGGGUAGUGCCCGAUCGGGCGUGGGGGUUCGAAUCCCCCCCUGGGUA
RNAcentral lists this transfer RNA (84 nucleotides) under Bacteroidota bacterium. RNAcentral describes it as "Bacteroidetes bacterium (activated sludge metagenome) tRNA-Leu". It matches the Rfam family "tRNA". From Rfam's summary of the family: Transfer RNA (tRNA) molecules are approximately 80 nucleotides in length. The record is from RNAcentral. RNAcentral also lists the same sequence under 1 other name. Lineage: Bacteria; Pseudomonadati; Bacteroidota.